This 457-nucleotide ribosomal RNA is filed under the name uncultured bacterium. Its description in RNAcentral is "partial 16S ribosomal RNA". It matches the Rfam family "Bacterial small subunit ribosomal RNA", at positions 338 to 795 of the family's 1533-position model. The record is from RNAcentral.
CCUACGGGUGGCAGCAGUGGGGAAUAUUGCACAAUGGGGGAAACCCUGAUGCAGCGACGCCGCGUGAGUGAAGAAGUAUUUCGGUAUGUAAAGCUCUAUCAGCAGGGAAGAAAUAGCGACCUUUGGGUCGCCAGACGGUACCUGAUUAAGAAGCCCCGGCUAACUACGUGCCCGCAGCCGCGGUAAUUCGUAGGGGGAAAGCGUUAUCCGGAUUUAUUGGGUUUAAAGGGUGCGCAGGCGGAGGUGCAAGUCAGCGGUCAAAGUGCGGGGCUCAACCCCGUACUGCCGUUGAAACUGCAUCCCUUGAGUGCGCGAGAGGUGUGCGGAAUGCGUGGUGUAGCGGUGAAAUGCAUAGAUAUCACGAAGAACUCCGAUGGCGAAGGCAGCAUACCGGCGCGCAACUGACGCUCAUGCACGAAAGCGUGGGUAUCGAACAGGAUUAGAUACCCCUGUAGUC